Gavialis gangeticus (Gharial) is the source of this 3012-nucleotide long non-coding RNA. RefSeq lists it as uncharacterized. NCBI's taxonomy places the organism in Eukaryota, Metazoa, Chordata, Crocodylia, Gavialidae. The transcript has 2 exons. The record is from RefSeq and is a predicted model, not a curated record.
AAAAAAAAAAGCAGAUACAGGUGAAACUUUGGGCUGUGAGGACUUGGUCUUUUUUCCUGAUGUCUAGCGGAAGUGACCAGUUCUUGCAAUACAUUGAUAAUUAUGAAUAUUUUUUCAUAAGCCAUUCAGUUUUGUCAUGAUUGCACAAUAGCAAAAAAGGAAUCAAAGUUUUUCUAGGGUUAAGACAACUACAAUGAAGUACAAAGCGAAACAGAUAAAAAGAAAUGUCCAAGUUAAUUUAUUCAUCUGUGCAGUUCGGAAGAAAAGCAGAGCAUGUUUUCAAAUCAUUCUACAUCCCUAGUAGAGAGCAUACAUAUGGUUAUGAUGCAUUUCUGCAAACUUGCUGAAUAUUUUAUCCCUGAAAGGAAUAAAACAUGAAAGGGCAUGUUGUUGUCAGCACUGCCAAAAUGAAGGGGAGACAACUCAGGACUUUAUGAAAAAUCCAUAUGAAAUGGCUAGUUCUAUCAGCCUGAAAGAGCAAAGAUCAACAUCAGAGAAAGGUUUUCAACAGAAGGCUAUGAAAAAAGAGAGAUAUGACCAUUGAUUUAUUAUUAAUUGUUUUCUUUUAUAUUUUCUCUUGGAUCUUGUAAUCUCAAUUUUAAUUUUUUAUGACCAAAAUAAUUACAGAGCAUGAAGGUUCACCACUACAAACUAAGAGAAAAACCCUCAAAUUUUGUACAAAGGGAAACUAUCACAGACUUUUAUUAAGGAAAAAUUAAACUGGGCAAUCACUAAUGAAAAGUAUGUGUGUGUCAUAAUUGCAAGGUAGGAGCAGAAAUAGAAUAUCCAUGAAAGAGAGCUGUUUCAGAGGCAAUCAUAAGUACAUUCAGCCUGAUUACCAGUUAUCAAAAACAACAAUGCACUGAAAGUAAAAAGAAAAAAAAGCCAGUAAGUCAGAGUAUGCUACAUCAAAUCAGGGAAAGAAGUAAUAACAACAGAAACUUUUGAGGAUCCCUAGAGUAUAAAAAUUACUCAGAAAAAAGUGAUUGGAAAAUAAUCUUUAACAGAGUGCCCCACAAAUAUCAGAAUUUUAAGACUGACUCCAGUGCUGACACUUCUACAAUAUCAAAAUUGAUGUAUGAUACAGUUUGGCCAUUCUUGCAGCUGCUGUCUGCUAGCGCUAUCUUGAAAUCCCCAAGGACUGUGUUGACAUGCAAAGGGCAGUGUAUCAAACAAACAAGUGAAAGGGCAAGCUGUACAUAUUACCAUAUGGUUGUGUUCUGCCAGGCCAACAUUGUAACUGGAUUAAUUUGGGAAAAAUUGCAAUGAUGCCUAAUAUGAAGUUCUAUUGUGUGAGUACCACACAGAGACUAUCUGCUCCACAACUGCCAAAAGGCCAGGUAAAAUUAGAAAGAAUGGAGAGUAAUGGAGUUACUGUGAUGAUUCAUGGACAGUUAAGUACAUUUUGGACAGUUUUCACUGAGAAAAGGGACAACUAUUUAAGAUGCAAAAAAGGUGUUUACUGUCUACAUGGAUGAUGUAUGGGAAUGUUCAGACGAAAAAAGCAAGUACUCAGAGGAAAUCUCUAAAACAAUAAGAACUUCUGGUCUGAAACGCAACAAAGCAAAAUGUGAACUGUGCCAAAUACGUCAGCUUUCCAGGCCAGCCAUAAGAUUAGUCAAGAUGGGCAGUGUCCAGAUCUGGAAAAAGACAGCCAUCUUAGAACUGCAGCCUCUUUAUAAUAUAUGGAAUGGAAAACAAAGCAGCAUAAUAAACAGUCAUGACAUUCUGACAAAAUUUAAGUUUUUUGAACUACUGAUGGGCUCUGAGUUUUGAAAGCUGAAUUUAUGUGUGGUUUGCAAUCAAGAAGCAGCUUUGAAAGAAGUAGACACUAACAUUGAGGGCUCUAGUGCAAACUUUGUCUGAAUUGUAUAGUUAGUGACUGUAUGCCUGCAUAGUAUAGAUAAUGUAUUACUACAUCAGUAACAUUUCGUAUUAAAAGCCAUUUGAUUUCUUUUCCAAAACAUUACAACUACAUAGGCAGGAAGAAAACAAAAAAAAUGUCUGUUGGGUGUUUCAGUUUAUGAAAGCAUUUUAAUUUCGCUUCAGACUUUUCACCCAGUUACAGGUCACACUCUUUGUGCCUGUAAAUCUGAUUCUUCAACCCCAACUCAGAGCUGCUAGGGCUUAUACAUGUAAGUCAACUGAUGUAACUGCAACUCAACCUGACUAAAGGUGGGAGAAUCAGAAUGUAAAAUAACAGUAUGUGGUCCAUCAUUAGGUGAGAAGAUUUCCAGUGUUAACAGAGAGGGCAAGAUCCAGUGGAAUAAGCCAGCUGUAAACAUAACAUCUAUGUCUGCAAGGUCCUAUGUCACUGAGAUUCAGGAAGGAUCACUUAGAAGAAAUCAAAUCAGCCUCAGUUUGUUCCAUUUUCCUUAGAAGGUGUAAAAAAUACUUUGCAGGUCCAUUCUUUCAUUCAUUGUAGGAAAUCAGACUGUUAAGACAGGGCACAAAAACACCUCUCCCAAAAUUACUGGAAUCCAUUUUUGGGUUGGACUGUGAUUUUUGCUUUGAAUCAUUAUGUUUUCAAUGCAUCAUUUCUGUGCAAAUAAGAUCAGAAUUAGCUGCCUAAAAGGCAUGUGGUGCUAGUAUAUCAAGUUGCAAUUUUCCUGACAGACCCAUAUCAUCCAUAGUAGCAUUGCUAAUAAUGACCCAUGCCUUUCCUUUAAAAUGAAUGUACUAGUGUAAUUGCAUAACAUGUGAGGGGUUGUUUCUCUGUAUACCUAAAAUCACAAUCUUGUAUUAUGGAAGGCAAAUAAUAUUCUUUGCAUCAGGUCUUCCCAUCAAAUUAUUAAAAUACUUGUGUGCAUCAUAUUGUCAGAAGAGAAAAGCAUGCUAGCUUACAUGGCAAAGCGGUGAAUCAAACAAAUCCAAACACUUCCUUGUGCAAUUUUCAUGGUUGCCUAGGGCUUUAUUUUACUUGCUCCUGAUAGAUACCUUUCUAUUUUUUUUUGUAAAGUCAUUAACUCAAGCAGAGAAAAUUAACUAAACCACUAAUAUUAAUUACAGGUA